RNAcentral lists this long non-coding RNA (3008 nucleotides) under Salmo salar (Atlantic salmon). Its description in RNAcentral is "lncRNA (ENSSSAG00000102440.1)". The record is from RNAcentral. Lineage: Eukaryota; Metazoa; Chordata; Actinopteri; Salmoniformes; Salmonidae.
AAUUUACAACAUUGACAAUGUCUACACUGUAUUUCUGAUCAAUUUGAUGUUAUUUUAAUGGACACAUUUUUUGGGCUUUUCUUUCAAAAACAAGGACAUUUCUAAGUGACCCCAAACCUUUGAAUGGUAGUGUGUGUGUAUAUAAACUCAGCAAAAAAAGAAACGUCUUCUCACUGUCAACUGCAUUUAUUUUCAGAAAACUUAACAUGUAAAAGUUUGUAUGAACAUAAGAUUCAACAACUGAGACAUAAAGUGAACAAGUUCCACAGAAAUGUGACUAACAUAAAUGGAAUAAUGUGUCCCUGGACAAAGUGGGGGUCAAAAUCAAAAGUAACAGUCAGUAUCUGGUAUGGCCACCAGCUGCAUUAAGUACUGCAGUGCAUCUCCUCCUCAUGGACUGCACCAGAACCCUAUGUGCCCUGGUCAAAAGCACACUACGUGACCAUAAGUAUGUGGACACCUGCUUGUCGAACAUCACAUUCCAAAAUCAAUGGGCAUUAAUAUGGAGUUGGUCCCCCUUUUACUGCUAUAACAGCCGACACUCUUUUGAAAAGGCUUUCCACUAGAUGUUGGAGCAUUGCUGUGGGGCCUGGCUUGAUCGGCUUUCCAAAUCAUCCUAAAGGUGUUCGAUGGGGUUGAGGUCAGGGCUUUGUGCAGGCCAGUCAAGUUCUUCCACACCGAUCUCGACAAACCAUUUCUGUAUGGACCUCACUUUGUGCAUGGGGGCAUUGUCAGGCUGAAACAGGAAAGGGCCUUCCCUAAACUGUUGCCACAAAGUUGGAAGCACAGAAUCGUCUAGAAUGUCAUUGUAUUCUGUAGCAUGGAACUAAGUGGUCUAGCACAAACCAUGAAAAACAGCCCCAGACUAUUAUUCCUCCUCCACCAAACUUUACAGUUAGCACUAUGCAUUGGGGCAGGUGGCGUUCUCCUGGCAUCCAUCAAACCCAGAUUCGUCUGUCGGACUGCCAGAUGGUGAAGCGCGAUUCAUCACUCCAGAGAACGUGUUUCCACUGCUCCAGAGUCCAAUGGAGGCAAGAUUUACACCACUCCAGCCGACGCUUGGCAUUGCUCAUGGUGAUCUUAGGCUUGAGUGUGGCUGCUCGGCAAUUGAAACCCAUUUCAUGAAGCUCCCGACGAACAGUUCUUGUGCUGAUGUUGCUUCCAGAGGCAGUUUGGAACUCAGUAGUGAGUGUUGCAACCGAGGACAGACUAUUUUUUGACCACUUCAGCACUCAGCGGUCCCAUUCUGUGAACUUGUGUGACCUACCACUUUACGGCAGAGCUGUUGUUGCUCCUAGAUGUUUCCACUUCACAUUAACAGCACUUACAGUUGACCGGGCAGCUCUAGCAGGGCAGAAUUUGGACUAACUGACAUGUUGGAAAGGUGGAAUCCUAUGACGAUGCCAUCUUUAAAGUCACUGAGCUCUUCAGGAAAGGACCAGAAAUACUGGGAUAAUAUCAUGCACAGUUUGCCUGGAGGAGUUCCAAACCCCCAUUACCUAUCUGUCAGAGCCUGUGGACGUGUACAGUGAUUGGAUAGACGCUUGUGAAGCAGCCAAUCAGUAGCCCAGGCUCACCGGGGCGGAAGACCUCACGUUGGAACAGGAAGCUGAUUUAGAGGUGGCUCUCGUCUGUUUCUCACCAAUCACUGCCAGUCUUCAGCCCAAGAUGAUGGUCCCGUUCCAGGCCGACUACAUUGCAGACGUUGCGUUGCGUCAACCAAUAGCUGCGUGCCACGUCAUCAACUGCAGUUAGGCAUCAUAUUGCUAUGUCAUGUGGUUAGCUGAUAUGUGAACCAACUAUCCAGAUGUUGUGAGAUCUGGCAGAUGCCUACAAUGUAGUCAGCCUGGUAAGCAGCCUCUAACCUUUACCUCACCGCACAUCUCCCACACUAGUGACCUGGCGUCCACCGAGACUGUCUUGCGUAGCCAUAGUUCAGUCCAGAGGCCUAUAUAGGCCAUGCUCCAAAUGGCACCCCAUUCCCUAUGUAGGGCACUACUUUUGACCAGCUCCAGUAGGGCUCGGGUGGAAAAUAGUGCACAAUAUAGGGAAUAGGGUUCCAUUUGGGAUGUGACCUUAAGAGGUAUAUAUGACUCUGGUUAAGUCAACCUAUUCCCCUACUCACCGUUUUAAUUUAUGCAGAUCUCAUUUUCCAAGCGGUCAGUUGUCAUGGCUCCUAGUUUGCUGGUAGGAUUAUACAGGUAGUAGCUGCUCUUGGGUUAGUUUCACCACAAUUAGUUUUUACUCUCCCCUGUGUACAGUUCUUCUAGAGAUACACAAUACCACAGUGUACAGCGAUACCAUAGUGUUGGCUCAUUCCAUUGGGGUAUAUUCGGUGGAACUCUGAGUGUGUGUUUAUGCAGAGUAACUUGUCACUCUUCAUGCUAACUAGUGGGGUGUUCCAGAAAGCAGGAUUGUUAAGUUAGCCAGCUAACUUUGAUAUGUAGUUAAAUAUAUCUUUAUUUUAUAUUUAGAAAGCUAAACUUGAAUAUGGGUUGUUGUUGGUUGUCAAGUCAAUUAUACCAUGACAAUUUCAAGUUAGAUUUUUGUGGGACUGUUAGCUGGCUGAGUCCUUGAUCCUGCUUUCUGAAACAGUCUAAACUCUCAAGUGGUUUAUGAAAUAUUUUCUAUGAAUAUCCCAGGUCCUUUUUCUCAAUUUUAAAAUGCUUCCGGUAUCUCCCUGAAGACAUUCCUUUGUUAGAGAAAAUGGACUGAAAGGGAGAGGUAUGAUGGUACAUACACACCAGGUAAACAGUAGGUCCAAAUUAGUAUUAUUGAUUUGAUUAUUUUAGUUUUUCAAAUGAUAAGAAAAUUGCCAAUGAUUUGCAAUUGGUUGCCCUUUGUAAUGAUUUUUAUUUUCAAUGUGACAAAUUAAAGUGUUGUAUUUUGACACCCACAAUGAAUGUGUCUGUGUCAAUGGUGUGAGAGUUAACUAACGUCUAAAGUCUGUAGAGCAUGUUUCUACUGGAGAGACAUGCCGUUUCAUUUCCUGCUAAUAGGCUAGCUAG